GACGAACGCUGGCGGCGUGCUUAACACAUGCAAGUCGAACGGAAAGGCCUGUCCUUCCUUGUGUUGGGCGGGUACUCGAGUGGCGAACGGGUGAGUAACACGUGAGUGAUCUGCCCCCAACUUGGGUAUAAGCCUGGGAAACUGGGUCUAAUUCCCGAUAGGACUGCAGGGUGGUGCCUGUGGUGGAAAACGAUUUUCUAGUGGUUGGGGAUGAGCUCGCGGCCUAUCAGCUUGUUGGUGGGGUAAUGGCCUACCAAGGCGGCGACGGGUAGCCGGCCUGAGAGGGUGGACGGCCACAUUGGGACUGAGAUACGGCCCAGACUCCUACGGGAGGCAGCAGUGGGGAAUAUUGCACAAUGGGCGGAAGCCUGAUGCAGCGACGCCGCGUGGGGGAUGACGGCCUUCGGGUUGUAAACUCCUUUCGACCGCGAGGAAGCCGCCUGGUUGGAAGGGUGGUGACGGUAGUGGUAGAAGAAGCACUGGCUAACUACGUG
RNAcentral lists this ribosomal RNA (494 nucleotides) under uncultured bacterium. Its description in RNAcentral is "partial 16S ribosomal RNA". It matches the Rfam family "Bacterial small subunit ribosomal RNA", at positions 28 to 507 of the family's 1533-position model. The record is from RNAcentral.